AAUAAUCAUGGGUUGAAUUAAGAGGCUUUACAAGAAAUUAAACUAAAUUGCAUUGUUUGUAACUAAAGUGCAUCAUGUUUUCAAAAUCUCUUCAUACCGUUUGCUUGUUCCCUUCUUAUGUUCACUCACUGAGUUUAUACUCACUCUUUUAAACUUCAUGUUUCCAGAUUCGAAGGCAGUUGGGACCUAAAAUAAGACGUCCACUUGUAUUCACCAUUUGGUAGGUAUCUUAAUAUUCAGUAGCCAUACCUUCGUCCAAGUCACUCCCCUGGUCAUCAGGAGUUUGCUGCAUGUGUACAUAUACACUUGAUGUAAAUCUCUAAGAUUUAUGCUAUAAACAAUAUAUGUAUAAUUUGGAUUUGAUAAUGCCAUUAUUGGAUAGCAAAUGUACGACCAUAUUUUGGAUAAUAUAAAUGUAAAUUCUUGGUUGUCAUAAUAUGUUAUUACGGUACUCAUAGUGAAAAAUUACAAAUCAUGGCUUUAGGAAUGUUUGAAGAAAGUAUGAACUUGAUUACAUAGAAAGGUUUGCUUGGGCUUAGUGGGCUAUGCCCAUUGGGCCCAUGCACCAAUCAUGGUCCGAAAAUUACGCUGUGAUAAAAACCUACUUAUAAUCCAAUAGACACACUAUGUCACUUUAUAUGACAUAACCUUUGAGCUAAGAUAGCUUAUCAUUAUGUGCCAUAACUUUUGAUUUUGAAAAUACAACAACGCAUUACCUAAGUUGACACGUGGGUAAAUGAGGAAGCCCUUUUGCGGCUUCCUUUUACUUAUGUUAUAGAUUACUAUAAGUAGUUUGCAUUACACAGCUGAUUUGUAAAAUUUUUAAAAUCAUUGGUGAAAUAAAUUUAUUUGAGAAAAAUGAUAUUUUUGUGUGAGGGGUUUGUAUUACAUUUUCUCAGUAGAUAUAGAAAUCUGAUGAUAAGAUAUAGAAAAAUUGUUUAUAAGGGUAAACAAUUAAAAUAUUAACUGAUAAAUGGAAAGAAAAAAAUUAAUAACAAGAAAAAUGAUUGUGGCAUGAUAUUGAUUGAGCUAUACAUCAAAAAAUAAAAAAUGAAUGUUGCAGCAUUCUUUUUAAACUUAUAUGAUUAAAAAGAGCCAUGUUGUGGCAAAACAAAGAAACUAAGAGAGAUUUUUGCUACGUUUACAAAUAACACUAUGAAAAAAAUAUGUUACAUAGUUUUAUCAAUAAUAAAACCAAAAUAUUGGUAAAAAAGAGGUAGAUAUACAAAUGUAAAAUAUCAUGAAUUUCUAAUUGCUUUAAAGGAUGACUAUAGAUAAUAUGCAUUAAAGAAAUUCCAGAACAACUUUUAUAACGGCAAAUUUCACAUAUUUGAAAAAGACAUCAAACUCAAUUAAUAAAUGCAAAAAUUCAGUAAAGAAUAAAAGACAUAGUUGAUUCAACCUAAGAGCAAUAGAUAAACAGCCACUUUAUAAAUAGAGAAAAUGUUGAUAUCAACUUUCAUAUCAAUCCAUUCAUUUAAUAUAAUAAAUCUAAAAAGAAGUUAAAGGGUCUAUGUUUUAAGUUUCUCAGUUAUUUUAACAGUAAAAAUAAUCCUUAAUCUUUCUUUAGGUUUAAGUUAUUACUAACUUUGAUCAUGAUUUUCUUUUUGCAAAAUACAAUACUCAAAAAUAUAAAAGCAACUCAGUAACAAAAAAAUUAUUUGACCUCUGGUACUUUGGCAUCUGGAGCAAUGUCUCUACUAAGUAUUGAUUUGAUUUGCUAAACAAUUAGUUUCAAUAAGAUUUGAGAAUUUAUUAUGCAUGAAACAAAUUUUAUACCAAUAAUUAUAACAAUUAGUACAUUAAUAGUUAUAAAUUUAUUUUAUUUAACAAUGGUUGUGCUGUCAAAGAACGAUCCAAAUUUUGACUGGAAUAAAUCAUUUUUGUUGCUAAAAGAGGAAGAAGUUGACCUGAGAUCUGUGAAAGAUAAUGAAUACAGAUGAACUAUGGUAGGUCAUAGAUCUUCAGAUUUUAAAAUAGAGAAUCUUCUUGCAAGUAUGAGAUUGAUUUUUCGUGUCUUUGUUUGUCAAUCAAUUCUUCCCUUAACAAUGACAACGAUUUUUCCUUGCAGAAAAAAGAUCAUCAUUGACAGUAGAAAUCGUUAGUGAACUUAACAAAUUGUUGAAAACAAAGGUUGACGGUAAGAAUUAUUAGUAUAUUUAUGUAAGAUGUUAAUGACAAUAUAAUAUCAAAAGAAUUAUUUAUUUGUUAAAUGAUUUACUUUUGAUAGGCCAGGUUCGUCAAAUCUAUUAGAAUGAGUAGUAAUUACUUUUUUUUGUUAUGUUGGUAAAUUUUUUAGCUUUAAAUAAUUUUAUUUUAUUGUAUGUAUUUUGUUUGCAACAAACUUAUUGCUAUUAAAGAAGAAAGCAUCAUGAAAAUAAUAACAACUUGCAUAAAAAAAUAUUUAAAGAGGGUAGUAAAAGAAAAAAAACAAAACAAACGAAAGAAGGAAAGCCAAAAAUGAAAAUAAACGCAUAGAAAAUGUGUAAAAUUUCAGGGCAGUUUACAAAUAUGCUAACUGUUUGCGUUAACACCGAGUCAUAAAUAACUGCAGAUGUUGCAGAAGAGAACAAUAGAUUAAUCUCAUGUUCUUAUAAUCAUAGAUUAAGAACUUCAAUAAGCUAAACAAUCAAAGUCAAACUUCAAACUCAUUUGAAUUUAUAUUGUAUAUACAUUUCAAUAUUUUGUAUUUUAAGUAUAGACAUCUCUCUUUUGAAGAUGUUAAAAUUUAAAAAAUUAUGUUUAAGUACUUUUUUAUACCUAAACCAGGCUUAUGAAGCACAGAAGUAUGUUAGUUUUUUUUUUUAAUUAAUGAGUUUGAUUUUAAUUUCUGUGUAUAUUUAAUUAGGUUAGUUUUAGACUAUAUUAAUUAAUAUUGUAUUUAAUUUUCAAAUAUUUGGGUGUUAGGGUUAUAUUUUAUAUUUUACAUUUUAAUAAAGUUUUGGUUUAGUUGUAAAUACUUAUGUAAUCUUAGUUUCAAUGAGUUUUUGGAUGAUAAAUAUUUAAAUUUUUGAGUUAAAAUGAUGAUUAUAAAGCAAAUAUAAAUCAAGACCAAAGUCAUUAUUAAAUACCAAUACUGCUACAAAGGAAAAAUGAAACAAACGACAUAUAUUAUUAAAUAUCUUGGAUUUGUUAAAUCUUCUCUUUUUUUCUAAAGAUGAAAAAUAAGCGAGAAUUGGUAGACACAAAUGAAAUUCACACAAAAUGCCAAUAUGUGAAAAAUAGCAGCAAAUAAUUUGUAUAGUUUCAAAGACAAUUCUAUCAACCAACUAUUGAUAUGUUGACAACUAACAUAAGAUGCAGAUUGUAAAUAGGCUAUUAAUCAUUUUAGUUUUACAAUUAAGCUAAUUCUUUGUUAUUUUUAAGCUUAGGCACAAUUGAUCUAAGUGUUCAAUUGAUCAUGUUACCUGGUGCAAAGAAUAACAGGCAAUCGUGAAUGAAAUUCAAUAGUUUGUUACUAUUACCUGGUGAGCAAAAAGUCUACUAUCAAGUUGUCCUUGUGUCAAUGGAUUGGUUUGGAGGAUGCACUGCACUUUAAAGAAAGAAUUACAAUAUUGCAUAUUAAAAGUGCUUGAAUAAAAUAAAAAUCUAGACUUGCUAAACAGUCUAUCAUAAAAGGCAUGAAGUAUAUGAUGGGAAUAAUAUUAGGUAAAAAAAAUACCUAAAGAAAAAACAAAUGCUAGGAGAAAUAUGUAUGGAAUUCAAAAAUUAGGUAACUAUACAUACGUGUAAGUAUUUGAGGUCAUAAAAUGAUUUAUCUUUUGGUUGGUCAGAAAAGAUUCAUCAAACAAAAGAUACAUUACUGUAAUUUGCAUGUCUGAAAUUAAGAUUGUUGGUGUGUAAGUGUUAUUUGUGAUUCUAGGAAAGAUGAGCAAUUAUCAUUUUCAUUUACAAUGUAAAGACAGAUCAAAACUAAAAUUCAU
Molecule: long non-coding RNA, 3923 nt
Filed under: Theobroma cacao (cacao)
Lineage: Eukaryota; Viridiplantae; Streptophyta; Magnoliopsida; Malvales; Malvaceae
Description: long non-coding RNA (TCAC_LNC006142)
Source: RNAcentral